UUGAAGGUGCUGCUCCAGAGUGCUCAUUUAGUGACCGCCAGCUCAAUAUCACACUCUGCUUAAGGUAUGCGUAUUUGCAGAUGACAGGUUUGAACAGGUAAGUGUUUCUUCAGCCUUUCUUCCACUGCCGGCGUUAACAUGUCCUCGGGUGAAUGGUGAAGCCGAAGGUCAUGACAAAGUGUAAAAAUGCAUCUUCAUAGGUGAAGCAGAGGCGACCAGCUCACGUUGACACAUUGAAGGCAAAGUUAUGCAUCAACCUCCCGAGAUGCUCCAUGUAUAAAACAUGUCUGGUGAUUGUGAGUGCAAGCCAAGCGAUUGAUCGCGUGCAGAGUCAGCCCUCCCUGGGAACAAUGUGGAGCCAGCGUGCCUUCACAGGGGGCUACCACUGGACUUGGCCCAUCUUCAAAGUAGUGGUCAGAAGUCAAUGGUGGUGGCUGUGUUGAAGGGAGGAACCCCACAGGAUUUGCCAAAGACAUCAGUUCUUGUUUUAGAUGCAUUGUUCUCAGAGGUAAGCAGUAAUUGCAGCGACAGGGUUAGCGGUGAGAGGCCUGCACUGAAAUGGCGCCUUACCCGUGGUACCAGACGAUGUUCAUCUCUGGAGUGUAAUACUUCAUGGGACACUGCAGCUGAAUGCCUGUGGCUGUGCACUGGAUCACGAGCUCCUGCGCACUCACCCCUGAGGGUGAUGAUAGAGGUUUACGCUCAACUCCAACAGAUGAAGCAUGCUCAGGGAAGGCAGAAUAAAAUUUGUCACACACUUGCUGCGAGCAACGCAGCCACACAGGUGCAUUGCUAGGCUUUUCACAGCACAGUAGCUUGUUUACACACACACCACCAUCUGACAUAUGAAUUAUCCUUCUUGGAUUGAAUUGUUUUUAUAAGAGUGAGAAGCUAAAAUUGGAAACAUGUUCAAAUGUCAAUUAAUUGUCCAGCCCUACAUCAUAAUAUACAGUAGCACAAUGUUUGUGUGAAGCAGGAAGACACCUACCAGCCAGUCGGGUGAUCUGGUUUAUGGCCUCUUCAAAAACUACAAAAUAAUACACAAAAAUUAAACGGAUGUAAAGUCACAGGGCUGCUGUUUGUAUACCACAUCUAAGACUGAACAAAUAGUCUUUCAUUACAAUUGGUCGAUAAUUUAUUUAGGAGAAUCAAUUUUAAUACAGGUCAUUUGCUACGUUGUACUAGAAAAGCAGAGCUCAAUGAAUCCGAAAAUGUGUUACUUCCAUGCAGCUAAACAACUUGGCAAAAACUCAGCAGCUGCAGAUACAGUUUUGCCUUAAGAUACAAGUUUCAUUCAUUUCAUGACUACGCCUGUUUCUCGAAUCCUUAGUUCCUGGUGUUAUGAACAAAAAUGCUAAUCAUUUGUUCCUGGCUCCCAAAAAAACAACCAAAAAUUCUGAAAUGUGUUUUAAAAAGCAACAUCACCAUCUGUAAUAGUAUAUGUUGAUAAUAAAUUGAUACAGCAAUGGCAUAAUUAAAUAUAAUGUAAAAAAAUUCAACAACCCCAUACCCCCUUUCCUUUUUUCUUUAGUUCAAUGGACACUGCCCAUCUUCAAAACCCUCCUCAAAACUCACUUGUCUUCUUUGGCAUUCAACUCAGCAUGAGUUAGAUUUGUUCUUGGUUUUACUGUUUGGUGCUUUCUACCGCCUUUAUUACUGAUUUGUCUUACUGUUUAUUAUGCAUGUUAAAUUGCUCCAUGUACAGCACUUUGUAUGCAGCGAUGGCUGUUUGAAAGUGCUCUAUAAAUACUGUUGACUUGACUU
Hippocampus zosterae (dwarf seahorse) is the source of this 1764-nucleotide long non-coding RNA. RefSeq lists it as uncharacterized. The record is from RefSeq and is a predicted model, not a curated record. NCBI's taxonomy places the organism in Eukaryota, Metazoa, Chordata, Actinopteri, Syngnathiformes, Syngnathidae. The transcript is spliced from 4 exons.